AUAACUCGCAGAGCUGGGCUGGUAAAAUUGCAGUGCUAAGAACACUGGACCCGGUCUGCUACAAUGCUGCUGCUGCACAGAGCUGUGGUCCUCAGGCUCAAACAGGCCUGCAGGCUGCUCAGGAGUCAACACACAUAUACACUAAGGAGGAAGUGAGUUCCCACACCAGCCCUGAGACUGGGAUCUGGGUGACUCUGGGCUCUGAGGUCUUUGAUGUCACAGAAUUUGUGGACUUACAUCCAGGGGGCCCUUCAAAGCUGAUGCUAGCAGCUGGGGGUCCCCUAGAGCCCUUCUGGGCCCUCUAUGCUGUUCACAACCAGUCCCAUGUGCGUGAGUUACUGGCUCAGUACAAGAUUGGGGAGCUGAACCCUGAAGACAAGGUAGCCCCCACCGUAGAGACCUCUGACCCUUAUGCUGAUGAUCCUGUACGUCACCCAGCCCUGAAGGUCAACAGCCAGCGGCCCUUUAAUGCAGAACCCCCCCCUGAGCUGCUGACAGAAAACUACAUCACACCCAACCCUAUCUUCUUCACCCGGAACCAUCUGCCUGUACCUAACCUGGAU
This 563-nucleotide small RNA is filed under the name Pongo abelii (Sumatran orangutan). RNAcentral's name for it is "processed transcript". The record is from RNAcentral. Lineage: Eukaryota; Metazoa; Chordata; Mammalia; Primates; Hominidae.